UACGAAGGAUCCUAGCGUUGUCCGGAUUUACUGGGUUUAAAGGGUGCGUAGGCGGAUAAUUAAGUCAGUGGUGAAAGCUUGCAGCUUAACUGUAAAAUUGCCAUUGAAACUGAUUAUCUCGAGUGCGGUUGAGGUCACUGGAAUGUAUCAUGUAGCGGUGAAAUGCUUAGAUAUGAUACAGAACACCAAUUGCGAAGGCAGGUGACUAAACCAUAACUGACGCUGAGGCACGAAAGCGUGGGGAUCAAACAGG
Molecule: ribosomal RNA, 253 nt
Filed under: uncultured bacterium
Lineage: Bacteria
Description: partial 16S ribosomal RNA
Rfam family: Bacterial small subunit ribosomal RNA
Source: RNAcentral